AAUUAGAAAGCAAACCUUUGCAAUCAGUUUCGACCUGACUUUUGGUGAUUAUUUCACCUCUAUUUA
Molecule: transfer RNA, 66 nt
Filed under: Homogryllacris parcibrevipenna
Lineage: Eukaryota; Metazoa; Arthropoda; Insecta; Orthoptera; Gryllacrididae
Description: tRNA-Arg
Source: RNAcentral